RNAcentral lists this ribosomal RNA (253 nucleotides) under uncultured bacterium. RNAcentral's name for it is "partial 16S ribosomal RNA". It matches the Rfam family "Bacterial small subunit ribosomal RNA", at positions 524 to 776 of the family's 1533-position model. The record is from RNAcentral.
GACGUAGGAUGCAAGCGUUGUCCGGAUUUAUUGGGCGUAAAGAGUUCGUAGGCGGUUUUUUAAGUCUGGAGUUAAAGAUCAAGGCUCAACCUUGGGACUGCUUUGGAUACUGAGAGACUUGAGUGCAGUAGGGGCGAGUGGAAUUUCCAGUGUAGCGGUGAAAUGCGUAGAUAUUGGAAAGAACACCAGUGGCGUAGGCGGCUCGCUGGGCUGCAACUGACGCUGAGGAACGAAAGCUAGGGGAGCAAAUGGG